This 850-nucleotide ribosomal RNA is filed under the name uncultured bacterium. Its description in RNAcentral is "bacterial SSU rRNA". It matches the Rfam family "Bacterial small subunit ribosomal RNA", at positions 53 to 890 of the family's 1533-position model. The record is from RNAcentral.
ACCUGCAGUCGAGCGAGAACCGGACCUUCGGGUCCGGGGACAGCGGCGAACGGGUGAGUAACACGUGGGUAACCCACCCUUGGCACCGGGAUAGCCCGGGGAAACCCGGAUUAAUACCGGAUGGCCCGACAGCCUUUCGGGGCGGUCGGAAAAGGUAGCUUCGGCCUCCGGCCAUGGACGGGCCCGCGGCGGAUUAGCUUGUUGGCGGGGUAACGGCCCACCAAGGCGACGAUCCGUAGCUGGUCUGAGAGGACGAUUAGCCACACUGGGACUGAGACACGGCCCAGACUCCUACGGGAGGCAGCAGUGGGGAAUCUUGCGCAAUGGGCGAAAGCCUGACGCAGCGACGCCGCGUGAGGGAAGAAGGCCUUCGGGUUGUAAACCUCUUUCAGGAGGGACGAAGCCACUCGGGUGAAUAGCCCAGAGGGUGACGGUACCUCCAGAAGAAGCCCCGGCUAACUACGUGCCAGCAGCCGCGGUAAUACGUAGGGGGCGAGCGUUGUCCGGAUUUAUUGGGCGUAAAGAGCGUGUAGGCGGCUUCACAGGUCCGCUGUGAAAACUCGAGGCUCAACCUCGAUCUGUCGGUGGAAACCGUGAAGCUAGAGUCCGGAAGAGGAGAGUGGAAUUCCCGGUGUAGCGGUGAAAUGCGCAGAUAUCGGGAAGAACACCCGUGGCGAAGGCGGCUCUCUGGGACGGUACUGACGCUGAAACGCGAAAGCGUGGGGAGCGAACAGGAUUAGAUACCCUGGUAGUCCACGCUGUAAACGAUGGGUGCUAGGUGUGGGAGGUGUCGACUCCUUCCGUGCCGAAGCUAACGCAUUAAGCACCCCGCCUGGGGAGUACGGCCGCA